GACGAAUUCAAUAUAGAAGGUGCUCAAUUGAGCUUAAAAGGGAAAAUGGUUAAAAUCCAUUACAGCCCCCGCUACUGUAGGUGAUGAUGAAUCGGCAAUGAACCACUGAUCUAGGAAUUUAAAGCUAGGUUGGGAAGGUGCUGAGGAAAAUGAUUCACGAGUCAGGAGACCUGCCGACUUUAGAUAAAUGAU
Molecule: non-coding RNA, 192 nt
Filed under: Alkaliphilus oremlandii OhILAs
Lineage: Bacteria; Bacillati; Bacillota; Clostridia; Peptostreptococcales; Natronincolaceae
Also listed under: 1 other name
Source: RNAcentral